Aedes aegypti (yellow fever mosquito) is the source of this 72-nucleotide non-coding RNA. The record is from Rfam. Lineage: Eukaryota; Metazoa; Arthropoda; Insecta; Diptera; Culicidae.
GGCUCGGUAGCUUAGUUGGUAAAGCGCUCGUCUAGCAUACAAGAGUCCUGGUUUCAAAUCCCAGCCGAGCAC